GGAGUCUGGACCGUUUCUCAGUUCCAAUGUGACCGUUCAUCCUCUCAGACCGGUUACCGAUCGUCGGCUUGGUGAGCCCUUACCUCACCAACUACCUAAUCGGACGCAAACCCCUCGCAAAGCGAUAAAUCUUUAAUACAAUCAUCAUGCGAUAAUUAUACAACAUUCGGUAUUAGCAACCCUUUCGAGCUGUUGUCCCCAUCUUUGCGGCAGGUUAUUUACGUGUUACUCACCCGUUUGCCACUGGGACCGAAGUCCCCGUUCGACUUGCAUGUGUUAAGCACGCCGCCAGCGUUCGUC
This 300-nucleotide ribosomal RNA is filed under the name uncultured Veillonellaceae bacterium. RNAcentral describes it as "partial 16S ribosomal RNA". The record is from RNAcentral. Lineage: Bacteria; Bacillati; Bacillota; Negativicutes; Veillonellales; Veillonellaceae.